This 396-nucleotide ribosomal RNA is filed under the name uncultured archaeon. Its description in RNAcentral is "bacterial SSU rRNA". It matches the Rfam family "Archaeal small subunit ribosomal RNA", at positions 1 to 403 of the family's 1478-position model. The record is from RNAcentral.
UUCCGGUUGAUCCUGCCGGACCCGACUGCUAUCAGAGUAGGACUAAGCCAUGCGAGUCAACGCCGUAAGGCGUGGCAUACGGCUCAGUAACACGUAGUCAACAUGCCCAAAGGACGUGGAUAACCUCGGGAAACUGUGGAUAAACCGCGAUAGGCCAAGGUUUCUGGAAUGAGCCAUGGCCGAAAUCUAUAUGGCCUUUGGAUUGGACUGCGGCCGAUCAGGCUGUUGGUGAGGUAAUGGCCCACCAAACCUGUAACCGGUACGGGCUUUGAGAGAAGGAGCCCGGAGAUGGGCACUGAGACAAGGGCCCAGGCCCUAUGGGGCGCAGCAGGCGCGAAACCUCUGCAAUAGGCGAAAGCUUGACAGGGUUACUCUGAGUGAUGCCCCGCUAAGGGU